This 411-nucleotide ribosomal RNA is filed under the name uncultured bacterium. RNAcentral describes it as "bacterial SSU rRNA". It matches the Rfam family "Bacterial small subunit ribosomal RNA", at positions 355 to 786 of the family's 1533-position model. The record is from RNAcentral.
UGGGGAAUAUUGCACAAUGGGGAACCCUGAUGCAGCGACGCCGCGUGAAGGAUGAAGUAUUUCGGUAUGUAAACUUCUAUCAGCAGGGAAGAAAAUGACGGUACCUGACUAAGAAGCCCCGGCUAACUACGUGCCAGCAGCCGCGGUAAUACGUAGGGGGCAAGCGUUAUCCGGAAUUACUGGGCGUAAAGGGUGCGUAGGUGGUUUCUUAAGUCAGAGGUGAAAGGCUACGGCUCAACCGUAGUAAGCCUUUGAAACUGGGAAACUUGAGUGCAGGAGAGGAGAGUGGAAUUCCUAGUGUAGCGGUGAAAUGCGUAGAUAUUAGGAGGAACACCAGUUGCGAAGGCGGCUCUCUGGACUGUAACUGACACUGAGGCACGAAAGCGUGGGGAGCAAACAGGAUUAGAUACC